AGGUUGACCUCGGAUCAGGUAGGGAUACCCGCUGAACUUAAGCAUAUCAAUAAGCGGAGGAAAAGAAACCAACAGGGAUUGCCUCAGUAACGGCGAGUGAAGCGGCAACAGCUCAAAUUUGAAAUCUGGCUCUUUCAGGGUCCGAGUUGUAAUUUGUAGAAGAUGCUUCGGGUGUGGCUCCGGUCUAAGUUCCUUGGAACAGGACGUCAUAGAGGGUGAGAAUCCCGUAUGUGACAGGCUGCCUCCGCCCAUGUGAAGCUCUUUCGACGAGUCGAGUUGUUUGGGGAUGCAGCUCAAAAUGGGUGGUAAAUUUCAUCUAAAGCUAAAUAUUGGCCAGAGACCGAUAGCGCACAAGUAGAGUGAUCGAAAGAUGAAAAGCACUUUGGAAAGAGAGUUAAACAGUACGUGAAAUUGUUGAAAGGGAAGCGCUUGCAAUCAGACUUGCGCGCGGUCGAUCAUCCGGUGUUCUCACCGGUGCACUCGAUCGUGCUCAGGCCAGCAUCGGUUUCGGUGGUUGGAUAAAGGCCUUGGGAAUGUGGCUCCUUUCGGGGAGUGUUAUAGCCCUCGGUGCAAUGCAGCCUACCGGGACCGAGGACCGCGCUUCGGCUAGGAUGCUGGCGUAAUGGUUGUAAGCGACCCGUCUUGAAACACGGACCAAGGAGUCUAACAUCUAUGCGAGUGUUUGGGUGUCAAACCCAUACGCGUAAUGAAAGUGAACGGAGGUGAGAACCCUUAAGGGUGCAUCAUCGACCGAUCCUGAUGUCUUCGGAUGGAUUUGAGUAAGAGCAUAGCUGUUGGGACCCGAAAGAUGGUGAACUAUGCCUGAAUAGGGUGAAGCCAGAGGAAACUCUGGUGGAGGCUCGCAGCGGUUCUGACGUGCAAAUCGAUCGUCAAAUUUGGGUAUAGGGGCGAAAGACUAAUCGAAACCAUCUAGUAGCUGGUUCCUGCCGAAAGUUUUCCCUCAGGAUAGCCAGUGUUGA
This 980-nucleotide ribosomal RNA is filed under the name uncultured Ascomycota. Its description in RNAcentral is "eukaryotic LSU rRNA". It matches the Rfam family "Eukaryotic large subunit ribosomal RNA", at positions 1 to 991 of the family's 3401-position model. The record is from RNAcentral. Lineage: Eukaryota; Fungi; Ascomycota.